RNAcentral lists this ribosomal RNA (424 nucleotides) under uncultured bacterium. Its description in RNAcentral is "bacterial SSU rRNA". It matches the Rfam family "Bacterial small subunit ribosomal RNA", at positions 355 to 796 of the family's 1533-position model. The record is from RNAcentral.
UGGGGAAUAUUGGACAAUGGGCGCAAGCCUGAUCCAGCCAUGCCGCGUGAGUGAUGAAGGCCUUCGGGUUGUAAAGCUCUUUCACCCACGACGAUGAUGACGGUAGUGGGAGAAGAAGCCCCGGCUAACUUCGUGCCAGCAGCCGCGGUAAUACGAAGGGGGCAAGCGUUGUUCGGAAUGACUGGGCGUAAAGGGCGCGUAGGCGGUUCGUUGCGUCAGAUGUGAAAGCCCCGGGCUCAACCUGGGAACUGCAUUUGAUACGGGCGAGCUUGAAUCCAAGAGAGGGUGGUGGAAUUCCCAGUGUAGAGGUGAAAUUCGUAGAUAUUGGGAAGAACACCAGUGGCGAAGGCGGCCACCUGGCUUGGUAUUGACGCUGAGGCGCGAAAGCGUGGGGAGCAAACAGGAUUAGAUACCCCCGUAGUCC